AUACGGAGGAUCCGAGCGUUAUCCGGAUUUAUUGGGUUUAAAGGGAGCGUAGGCGGAGGAUCAAGUCAGUUGUGAAAUGUAGGCGCUCAACGUCUGCACUGCAGUUGAAACUGGUCCCCUUGAGUGCGUAAGAGGCAGGCGGAAUUCGUCGUGUAGCGGUGAAAUGCUUAGAUAUGACGAAGAACUCCGAUUGCGAAGGCAGCUUGCUGGGCCGCAACUGACGCUGAGGCUCGAAGGUGCGGGUAUCGAACAGGAUUAGAUACCCUGGUAGUCCGCACAGUAAACGAUGGAUACUCGCUGUCGGCGAUAUACAGUCGGUGGCCAAGCGAAAGCGUUAAGUAUCCCACCUGGGGAGUACGCCGGCAACGGUGAAACUCAAAUGAAUUGACGGGG
RNAcentral lists this ribosomal RNA (393 nucleotides) under uncultured bacterium. Its description in RNAcentral is "partial 16S ribosomal RNA". It matches the Rfam family "Bacterial small subunit ribosomal RNA", at positions 523 to 918 of the family's 1533-position model. The record is from RNAcentral.